This 476-nucleotide ribosomal RNA is filed under the name uncultured organism. RNAcentral describes it as "partial 16S ribosomal RNA". It matches the Rfam family "Bacterial small subunit ribosomal RNA", at positions 332 to 799 of the family's 1533-position model. The record is from RNAcentral.
UACACUCCUACGGGAGGCAGCAGUGGGGAAUUUUGGACAAUGGGCGAAAGCCUGAUCCAGCCAUGCCGCGUGCAGGAUGAAGGCCUUCGGGUUGUAAACUGCUUUUGUACGGAACGAAACGGCCUUUUCUAAUAAAGAGGGCUAAUGACGGUACCGUAAGAAUAAGCACCGGCUAACUACGUGCCAGCAGCCGCGGUAAUACGUAGGGUGCAAGCGUUAAUCGGAAUUACUGGGCGUAAAGCGUGCGCAGGCGGUUAUGUAAGACAGUUGUGAAAUCCCCGGGCUCAACCUGGGAACUGCAUCUGUGACUGCAUAGCUAGAGUACGGUAGAGGGGGAUGGAAUUCCGCGUGUAGCAGUGAAAUGCGUAGAUAUGCGGAGGAACACCGAUGGCGAAGGCAAUCCCCUGGACCUGUACUGACGCUCAUGCACGAAAGCGUGGGGAGCAAACAGGAUUAGAAACCCUAGUAGUCCCAUG